AACGUAGGUUCCGAGCGUUAUCCGGAUUUACUGGGCGUAAAGCGCGUUCAGGCGGUUUGGCAAGUCGGGCAUGAAAUCUCUCGGCUCAACCGGGAGAGGUUGUCCGAUACUUCCAGACUUGAGGGCAGUAGAGGGUGGUGGAAUUCCGGGUGUAGCGGUGAAAUGCGUAGAUAUCUGGAGGAACACCGGUGGCGAAGGCGGCAUCCUGGACCAACACUGACGCUGAGGAGCGAAAGCCAGGGGAGCAAACGGG
RNAcentral lists this ribosomal RNA (253 nucleotides) under uncultured bacterium. Its description in RNAcentral is "partial 16S ribosomal RNA". It matches the Rfam family "Bacterial small subunit ribosomal RNA", at positions 524 to 776 of the family's 1533-position model. The record is from RNAcentral.